RNAcentral lists this long non-coding RNA (316 nucleotides) under Elaeis guineensis (African oil palm). RNAcentral's name for it is "long non-coding RNA (EGUI_LNC051583)". Lineage: Eukaryota; Viridiplantae; Streptophyta; Magnoliopsida; Arecales; Arecaceae. The record is from RNAcentral.
CCCCUAAUCUCCCUUUGUAGCUUCAUCCUGUCGAUAGGACGGUACCUUUCUUUCGCCAGAGAGCCUAGUUACUCAGCUACUUCCCUCGCACCAGUCCUUGUCUUCUUCAGCCCCCCACUUCUUCUCUGAGGGUCCCCACACCAUGUCUUCUACCCCGGAGGCCCUCCGUGAAGGGAUGUCUAGGGCCCAGAGGAAGGCGAGGAGGAGAACAGUGGCCGGUGAGGAUCCCCGUCGUUUCAAAGGAGGCUCAAGGAAGAAUUCCUUCAACAACAAGGGUUUAAUAACGGGGGCCGCCGGUAAGGUUAUUCUGCCCGAG